This is a long non-coding RNA of Gadus macrocephalus (Pacific cod), 2222 nucleotides long. RefSeq lists it as uncharacterized. NCBI's taxonomy places the organism in Eukaryota, Metazoa, Chordata, Actinopteri, Gadiformes, Gadidae. The transcript has 2 exons. The record is from RefSeq and is a predicted model, not a curated record.
GGAGCGGGAGGGAGUGUAUUCUUGGAGGAGGUCGCAGAGGUAACUGGGGGCUAGGUUGUGGAGAGCUUUGUAGGUGAGGAGUAGGGUUUUGUAUUGGAUGCGUUAGUGUACUGGGAGCCAGUGAAGUUGGAUGAGGACAGGGGUGAUGUGGUCAGAUGAUUUGGUGCGUGUGAUGAUCCGGGCGGCUGAGUUCUGAAUGAUCUGCAGUCUGUUGAUGAGUUUGGUGGGGAGUCCGGUGAGGAGGGCGUUGCAGUAUGGAGCUGGGGUGUGUUGUGAUUUAGUGAGGGUGGAUUUGGAUCCGAUGAGCAGGGCCUCGGUCUUGUUUCCAUUGAGUUUCAGGAAGUUCCUGCUCAACCAGCUCCGGAUCUCUUCCAGGCACGUGAUGAGGGAGGUGGGGGGGAUGGCAGCGGUGGGUUUGGUGGAGAUGUAGACCUGUGUGUCGUCAGCGUAGCAGUGAAAAUGGACCCCAUGGUGACGGAGGAGUGUGCCCAGCGGGAGGAGGUAAGUGGUGAACAGGAGUGGACCCAAGACUGACCCCUGGGGGACACCCAGUGAGACACCUGAACACCCAGACUUGUGGUUGCUUAGUUGAACAAAUUGUUGACGGCCGGUGAGGUAGGAUGUAAACCAGGAGAGUGCAGCACCAGUGAUCCCAAUGCCAGCCAGGCGGUCCAGGAGCAGAGGGUGGGAGAUGGUGUCGAAUGCUGCGCUGAGAUCAAGGAGGAGGAGAAUGGUGAGUAAUCCAGAGUCGGCUGCAAGGAGGAGGUCGUUGGUGAUAUUGACUAGGGCUGUUUCAGUGCUGUGUUUUGGACGGAAGCCAGAUUGGAACGGUUUGUGGAGAUUGUUAGUGUCGAGGUGGGACUGUAGUUGUGCGGCAACCACCCUUUCAAGUGUUUUGGAGAUGAAAGGGAGAUUGGAGAUGGGCCGGUAAUGGUUAAGGUCAGUUGGGUCAGCACCAGGUUUUUUCAGGAUGGGAGUGAUGGCAGCCAGCUUGAGAGUGGGUGGUACAGUACCAGUAGUGAGGGAGGAGUUAAUUAUGUUGGUGAUCAUGGGGGAGAUGGACGGAAGACAUGCUUUGACAAGGGAGGUGGGAAGAGGAUCGAGCUGACAGGUGGUGGUUUUGGCCUUGCGGAUGAGUUCUGAAACGGUCUGUUCUGUUACUGGGGUGAAGUCAGAGAGGGAGCUGACGAGAGGUUGGCCAGAGGUGAUCAUCCAGGGUGGGUCAUCAGAGGGGGUGCGAGAUGUGGCCAGUUGUUGGUGAAUGGUGUUGAUUUUAGAGCUGAAGAAGUCCAGGAACGCAGUGCAUUGGGUGGUGGAAAUGUCUGGAGGGAGGGAUUUAGGAGGCUGAAGUAAGUGGCUGACUGUUGAGGAGAGGACUCUGCUGUUGCCUGUACCAGUGUUGAUGAGGUUGGAGUAGUAUGAGGUUUUGGCAGUGGUGAGGGCAUUCUUGUAGUGAUGGAGGUGGUCCGAAUACAUUUGGCGGUGUACAGUGAGUUGAGUCUUAUUGUAGAGUCGCUCCAGUCGACGACCAGUGGCUUUGAGCUGGCGCAGAUGAGGAGUGAACCAGGGAGCAGUGUGGGUGAAUGAGACUGAGCGGGUUUUCAGGGGGGCCAGGGUGGUGAGGGAAGAGGAGAGGCAGUUAUUGUAGUGAGUCACCAGGUCAGUCAGGGAGGAAGCUGGGGGAGGGUUGGGGUAGGAGCUGAUCAUGGUGGAGAGGUCUGUGGUGUUGAUAAGUUUGAUGUUUCUGAAGGAGAUGGUCCGUUGUUCCUUGGUUUUGUGUAGUUGGGUAUGAAUGUCAAAAAGUACAGCUUUGUGGUCGGAGAUGGGGAAAUCAAUGACAUCAAGGUUAGUGGGAGUGAUGUCAGUGCAGCAGAUUAAAUCCAGAAUGUGACCUUUGUUAUGGGUUGGGAGGGUGACAUGUUGUGUGAUGCCAAGACAGUCCAGAAGUGAUGUGAAGUCAUUAGCAAAAGUACAGGAUGGGUUGUCAAUGUGGAUGUUGAAAUCACCAAGGAGGAUAACAGUGGGGGACAUUGCACAUACAGAUGUAAGUAGUGAUGAGAAUUCAUUGAGGAAAACGGCAGAGGGUUUUGGUGGUCUGUAAAUGGUGACAAUGAUAGUGGGUUUGGGGCCUGAGAGUUUUACAGCUAGACAUUCAAAGGAGGAGUGAAGGGGGACUGUGACAGUGGUGACUUUGAUGUUAUCACGAUGGAGGAGAGCGAGGC